GACGAACGCUGGCGGCGUGCCUAAUACAUGCAAGUCGAGCGGACCGACGGGAGCUUGCUCCCUUAGGUCAGCGGCGGACGGGUGAGUAACACGUGGGUAACCUGCCUGUAAGACUGGGAUAACUCCGGGAAACCGGGGCUAAUACCGGAUGCUUGAUUGAACCGCAUGGUUCAAUCAUAAAAGGUGGCUUUYAGCUACCACUUACAGAUGGACCCGCGGCGCAUUAGCUAGUUGGUGAGGUAACGGCUCACCAAGGCGACGAUGCGUAGCCGACCUGAGAGGGUGAUCGGCCACAC
Molecule: ribosomal RNA, 296 nt
Filed under: Bacillus sp. R-26272
Lineage: Bacteria; Bacillati; Bacillota; Bacilli; Caryophanales; Bacillaceae
Description: partial 16S ribosomal RNA
Rfam family: Bacterial small subunit ribosomal RNA
Source: RNAcentral